GAGUAACGCGUGGGUAACCUGCCUUGUACUGGGGGAUAGCAGCUGGAAACGGCUGGUAAUACCGCAUAAGCGCACAAUGUUGCAUGACAUGGUGUGAAAAACUCCGGUGGUAUAAGAUGGACCCGCGUCUGAUUAGCUAGUUGGUGAGAUAACAGCCCACCAAGGCGACGAUCAGUAGCCGACCUGAGAGGGCGACCGGCCACACUGGGACUGAGACACGGCCCAGACUCCUACGGGAGGCAGCAUG
This 247-nucleotide ribosomal RNA is filed under the name uncultured bacterium. RNAcentral's name for it is "partial 16S ribosomal RNA". It matches the Rfam family "Bacterial small subunit ribosomal RNA", at positions 108 to 353 of the family's 1533-position model. The record is from RNAcentral.